UAAUGGCGGACCAACUUAAACGGAAUGACCCGUUCAGCACCAGCAUAUCAUAAUUUUUGAGUUACUCGGGUGUUCUUUGGAUCCACGUCUCAAAACAAUAUUCAACUAUCAUCUUCAAUGUACCGGAAAUGGACAUAGAACAAUUGCGAACGAUUUGUCUCACUCGGCAAACCUCGGUAGGGUUCUGGAAUCUGUUGAGGUUUGCCGAGUGCGAUUUGUCUUUCUUUCCAUGGGAUUGAACCAAUACAAAAUUAAAAACACAAACCGCGUAUCGUGAAAAAUUGAUGGAGAAUCGUUAGAAAAUGUAUCUGAAGCAGUGUUAUUAGAACUUACUGUUGACCAAAAUUUAGAUCGGAUAUACUGGUUGGAAUCAAAGGCAGCUUGCUUCAACCAAUGGAAUUGUUACUUCGCCUUGGACUUCUAAUGUUGUGAUUUCCUAAUUAAAUCAAACUACAACCGUUUCUCAGGAAAGAAAAUCACAUAUGUAAAUAACAGAUUAGACAAGGGUAAACUGUUGAAAUACUGUUAAACAUGAUGGAUUUGGAUUUGGAAAAGCUGAGGUGUGUGUUUCAAUAAGCCAAUGGUUGAAUUUCAUUGUUGAUGACAUACAAGAAAAAAUUCAUGAAGAUUUCCUAGAAUAAUGUUUUGAGGUGUAGAAUUUUUGGCCACUGCAAACAGAGUCUAGCACCCAGAAAAUAUUCAUUCGCAGUGAGUCGACCAGGAAAUUUAGAGGACUGUUAUACUCAUUCGACGCCACUUUUCGACCAAUCAGAAUCCAAGAAAUUUCCAUUUUGGGCUACAAUAGCGAGCAAAAGCGCAAAAUAAAUCAACUGAUAUAAAAAACAUGGGGAUGAUAGUCAAUACUGACAAUUUUUACACAAGUCCAGCUCUUUUCAAGGAACGACUAGAAGACGGAAUAAAAGCACGGGGCACAUGCUGAAUGAAUAGAAAACACUGGCCAGCAGAGGUCACCAAAAAAUCAGUAAAAAAACAAGGAGACAGUGUAAUUGUCCAAGAUGGUCAGAUGACAGCAGGAGUGUGGAAGGACAAAAGGGUCGUGCCUUUUGUUUCGACAGUCGACGACCCGACACAUAAUGUUGAAGGUAGCAGACGAAAAAAAGAUGGCAGUUUAAGAACAAUAAGUGAGUACAAUAAAUACAUGGGUGGGGUUGAUCGCGCUGAUCAACUCUGUAUGGAAUACCCCAACUAUCGAAUGUGUAGAAGAUGGUGGGUGUACAUCUUUUAUUUCCUAUUAGACGUCAGCAUCUCUAAUGGUUUUAUUUUAUAUAAAGAAUCGAAGAAUCAUAGCAAUGGAAAUUCAAAAGAUUUGUUGACAUUUAGGAUUUAUUUAGCGAAACAACUCCUUGAUAAAGGAACAGCGGCAUCAAGAAAACGAAAACGUUUGAUUAUUCUGAUAAAAAAUUCUUUGGAUUAUUCUCAUGUGUUUUUAUAACUAUAAACUCAGUGCUUUUAUAACUUUUAUGAUUAUCAGGCCAUAUCACAAGCGUUGAACUUUUCAAAUUUGUUAGAACUCAUCAUUCUAUGGAUUAUUCUCAUUCUGCUAAAAUGUGUGUUAUUCUAUGGAUUAUUCUGAUAAAAAAUUAUCUGGAUUAUUCUCAUGUGUUUUUAUAACUAUAAAGUCAGUACUUUUAUAACUUUUAUGAUUAUCAAAACAGCGCUUUUAUGAAUUUUAUUACAGUGCUUUUAACUUUUAAAACUUUUAUAAUUAUCAAAACAGUAGUCCCGAAAUGACCUAGUUUGUGUCGAGUGGACGUUAAACCCCAUUUCUCUCUCUCUCGCUUUUAUAACAAAUCAGUGCUUUUAUAAUUAUCAAAACAGUGCUUUUAUAACUAUCAAAUCAGUGCUUUUAUAACUAUCAAAUCAGUGCUUUUAUAACUAUCAAAUUUAUCAAAUCAAUGCUUUUAUAACUAUCAAAUCAGUGGUUAUGUUAAAGAAUGUUAUUACAAUGAUUUAUUGUUAGGGAAAGUGUAAAUAUUUAUGUAGGUAUGUGUUAUGUGAUAUUGAUAAUGUGUGUAUGAAUCUGAGUAAUUAUUCAAGUCUAAAUGUUAUUUUUUUUGUAAGUACUGUUAUAGAUGUAUUUUUUUUUUAUAUUAUUCUUCUUUUGUGCUAUUCUAACCUGUUGAUUUCUUGGAUACAAUGACUAUUUUUUAGCUCAACAGACAAUUAAAUGUGAUUUUUAUUGCUGUAAAUCACACUUUACAUGAUUAAAUUUCAUAUCAUUCUAUAGUGCUACAUAUC
Patella vulgata (common limpet) is the source of this 2259-nucleotide long non-coding RNA. RefSeq lists it as uncharacterized. Lineage: Eukaryota; Metazoa; Mollusca; Gastropoda; Patellidae. The transcript has 4 exons. The record is from RefSeq and is a predicted model, not a curated record.